CCUACGGGCGGCUGCAGUGGGGAAUAUUGCACAAUGGGCGCAAGCCUGAUGCAGCCAUGCCGCGUGUGUGAAGAAGGCCUUCGGGUUGUAAAGCACUUUCAGCGGGGAGGAAGGCGGUGAGGUUAAUAACCUCAUCGAUUGACGUUACCCGCAGAAGAAGCACCGGCUAACUCCGUGCCAGCAGCCGCGGUAAUACGGAGGGUGCGAGCGUUAAUCGGAAUUACUGGGCGUAAAGCGCACGCAGGCGGUCUGUCAAGUCGGAUGUGAAAUCCCCGGGCUCAACCUGGGAACUGCAUUCGAAACUGGCAGGCUAGAGUCUUGUAGAGGGGGGUAGAAUUCCAGGUGUAGCGGUGAAAUGCGUAGAGAUCUGGAGGAAUACCGGUGGCGAAGGCGGCCCCCUGGACAAAGACUGACGCUCAGGUGCGAAAGCGUGGGGAGCAAACAGGAUUAGAUACCCGUGUAGUC
Molecule: ribosomal RNA, 465 nt
Filed under: uncultured Klebsiella sp.
Lineage: Bacteria; Pseudomonadati; Pseudomonadota; Gammaproteobacteria; Enterobacterales; Enterobacteriaceae
Description: bacterial SSU rRNA
Rfam family: Bacterial small subunit ribosomal RNA
Source: RNAcentral